AGAGUUUGAUCCUGGCUCAGAGUGAACGCUGGCGGCAGGCCUAACACAUGCAAGUCGAACGGCAGCACAGCAGUAGCAAUACUGUGGGUGGCGAGUGGCGGACGGGUGAGGAAUGCGUCGGAAUCUGCCUUUUUGUGGGGGAUAACGUAGGGAAACUUACGCUAAUACCGCAUACGACCUACGGGUGAAAGUGGGGGACCUUCGGGCCUCACGCAGAAAGAUGAGCCGACGCCGGAUUAGCUAGUUGGCGGGGUAAAGGCCCACCAAGGCGACGAUCCGUAGCUGGUCUGAGAGGAUGAUCAGCCACACUGGGACUGAGACACGGCCCAGACUCCUACGGGAGGCAGCAGUGGGGAAUAUUGGACAAUGGGCGCAAGCCUGAUCCAGCCAUGCCGCGUGUGUGUAGAAGGCCUUCGGGUUGUAAAGCACUUUUGUCCGGAAAGAAAAGCUUCGGGUUAAUAACCUGGAGUCAUGACGGUACCGA
This 484-nucleotide ribosomal RNA is filed under the name uncultured bacterium. RNAcentral describes it as "bacterial SSU rRNA". It matches the Rfam family "Bacterial small subunit ribosomal RNA", at positions 8 to 481 of the family's 1533-position model. The record is from RNAcentral.